UUCCCGGGAGCCUCCUGGCGGUGGUGGGGGGCCUCGAGGGUCCCCUAAAGGAGAUCGCCCCCCUUCUGGAGGACC
Molecule: transfer RNA, 75 nt
Filed under: Thermus aquaticus
Lineage: Bacteria; Thermotogati; Deinococcota; Deinococci; Thermales; Thermaceae
Description: tRNA-Ser
Source: RNAcentral